Molecule: long non-coding RNA, 517 nt
Filed under: Vigna radiata
Lineage: Eukaryota; Viridiplantae; Streptophyta; Magnoliopsida; Fabales; Fabaceae
Description: long non-coding RNA (VRAD_LNC009514)
Source: RNAcentral
GAGGGAAGUCCUUCUUUUCCAAAAGUCAAAGUGUUCAUUUGUUACUUUUCCCUUCUCUCUAAACAGAAACCCUUUUCCCUAAAUAAUUGUUCUGCCUUCUCUCUAAGAUAUCCAAACACCGUUUAAUUUUUAGUUUGAAGGUGCCUAAACGUUCACAACGACAAGGGCUUCAAUUUGAACCGAACAAUUUCCUGUUCCGACGGGUAAGUCCCCUUUUCCCCUUCUUUUUCACUGUUCUAGAACCUAGGACCUGCAACUUUGCUGGGUUCAUGCGCCUUGUACGUUUUCCUUUCAUUCUCUGUCCAUUCGAGCUUUGAGAGCUAUGUUCUAUCACCAAUUUGGUGAUUUGUAGGUUCUGUAAGUUCAGCGCGGUGUGGGUACGGUCCUAGGGUGUUCUUGACCAGUUUACUAUUAAGCUUUCCAGGUAAGGGGAGCUACUUAUACUUUUAUUUUAUUUGUUGCGAAGUGACUGUUUGAGAAAUCUGAAUUGCUAUAUUUUGGUUCUACACAUCCCGUU